Molecule: ribosomal RNA, 484 nt
Filed under: uncultured bacterium
Lineage: Bacteria
Description: partial 16S ribosomal RNA
Rfam family: Bacterial small subunit ribosomal RNA
Source: RNAcentral
AUUGAACGCUGGCGGCAGGCCUAACACAUGCAAGUCGAGCGGAUGAAGGGAGCUUGCUCCUGGAUUCAGCGGCGGACGGGUGAGUAAUGCCUAGGAAUCUGCCUGGUAGUGGGGGAUAACGUCCGGAAACGGGCGCUAAUACCGCAUACGUCCUGAGGGAGAAAGUGGGGGAUCUUCGGACCUCACGCUAUCAGAUGAGCCUAGGUCGGAUUAGCUAGUUGGUGGGGUAAAGGCCUACCAAGGCGACGAUCCGUAACUGGUCUGAGAGGAUGAUCAGUCACACUGGAACUGAGACACGGUCCAGACUCCUACGGGAGGCAGCAGUGGGGAAUAUUGGACAAUGGGCGAAAGCCUGAUCCAGCCAUGCCGCGUGUGUGAAGAAGGUCUUCGGAUUGUAAAGCACUUUAAGUUGGGAGGAAGGGCAGUAAGUUAAUACCUUGCUGUUUAGACGUUACCAACAGAAUAAGCACCGGCUAACUUCGUG